This 1504-nucleotide long non-coding RNA is filed under the name Ficedula albicollis (Collared flycatcher). Its description in RNAcentral is "lncRNA (ENSFALG00000025264.1)". Lineage: Eukaryota; Metazoa; Chordata; Aves; Passeriformes; Muscicapidae. The record is from RNAcentral.
UCAAAACCAAUCUCAACAUUUUGUUAGUCUUUUAAGAAAAGCACACUUAAAAAAUAAACGCUCCUCCCAAUCCCUUCAAACGGUUUUUAAGGGAACUGUAAUCCACACACAAGGCUUUCAGCUUUUCUUACAUCAGCCUGUGGGUACCAAGUGCAGAACCUUUAGCAGCAGAGGUGGGGGCACACUGUAGGGAAGGGUAGGGAGCUGCUGGCAUUCGCGUUGUGGGUGCACCACUGUGCGUGUGCUGUGACACAACAGCAAUGUGCUCAGCAAAAGGCAAUCAGUGGGCAACCACCCUGGCAGAAACUACCAGGUCUCUUCAGUCUUCUUCUCAGAACACUAACAGCACUAAAAAGACUACCACGAUGUCACAAGCAGAAAGCAGCUGUAAUGCUGGCAUGUCUGAUCUACUUCAACAAGUUUGGAAGAAAUGAAAUGUAAUUUAUUAUAGCCUAUUUAUGUCUGCAACAAUUACCCUUCAAAACCCGAAGGAGAACAAUGUAAUUGAAGGUACAUGCCUUCUUCCCUGCAGAAACCUCAAACAGCCUCAGGCAAGAGCCAAUACAGAUGUAGUACAAGGCAUUAAAAGAGUGUUGGAUGCUGUAGCUAGCAAUUAUCCUGGUAUUUAAACAAAUCUAUCGCUCAUCAGGAAAGCGUUUAGUGCAGUAGUCAGAGCGAGACAGGCUGACACGGAGCACAGCUACUAAACUGUCCCCUCCAGCGAUUACACUUUCUCAGACUGAGAGUCAUGUCAAAUUAAACAACUACACAUUGACUUUUCACUUCUGUAAACAUUAAGGUAUGAUUGACAAUUCUUGGAUGCUAUAAGGUAGUCAUUAUAAUCAGCCAACGAAUUGUUAGCUAAUUCGUGGUGCAGGUUUUUUUCCCCUAUUCUGAGCCACUUCUCCUGGACUAUUUUUACAGCGCCCUGUAGGUAACAUCUGCUUUGGGUUUUUGCAGGGUCACUGUAAUAAAAGGUCAUCGCCACCACCAGACUUUUGUGUGAGAAAACAAUAUACAGUUAAGUGACUUGACCUGGUCUACAAAAUACCAUUUUUUUUCUUUUAGUCCUGGCCCACACUUACCCAUUUAACUCAAAUUAGGAGAUGUCUGGACAGCAACAAUGGAUGCUAACACUGCAGUAAAUAAUGUGACAUCUAGAGUAUUUUCCCUAAUUCCUGCCUUAAGUCAUGGAGAGAGAUCUCUCUGGUCUAUGUAAAACAAAUACUGCAAGAGCAAGGAGUCACCUGGCAGAAUGAGAAAUGAAAUUGUAAGUUCUACCAAAGUGUUCUGAGUACACAUUCUUAAAGACCUCAAGCUUCCUGAAGCCAGUAUCCCUAUGACAGGGAACCACUUACCAAUAUCAGAAGGCUGCAGCCUAGUAAAAUUACUAGAAAUUGAGCAGAUACAUAAAGCAGUCACGGUUGUGAAGAAAUAAAUCCCUUUGAUUUUAUAUGCAACAUUCUGCUGCCUGAAACCACUACGUUAUAAGUGACAGUUUUAC